Molecule: non-coding RNA, 23 nt
Filed under: Arabidopsis thaliana (thale cress)
Lineage: Eukaryota; Viridiplantae; Streptophyta; Magnoliopsida; Brassicales; Brassicaceae
Source: RNAcentral
AUAAGGAUAAUGGUGACUUGGUA